Molecule: ribosomal RNA, 443 nt
Filed under: uncultured bacterium
Lineage: Bacteria
Description: partial 16S ribosomal RNA
Rfam family: Bacterial small subunit ribosomal RNA
Source: RNAcentral
CCUUCGGGAGGCAGCAGUGGGGGAUCUUGGACAAUGGGGGGAACCCUGAUCCAGCGACGCCGCGUGAGUGAAGAAGUAUUUCGGUAUGUAAAGCUCUGUCCGCAGGGAAGAAAGCAAUGACGGUACCUGACCAAGAAGCCCCGGCUAACUCCGUGCCAGCAGCCGCGGUAAUACGUAGGGGGCAAGCGUUAUCCGGAAUUACUGGGUGUAAAGGGAGCGUAGACGGCUGUGCAAGUCUGGUGUGAAAGGGGGGGGCCCAACCCCCGGACUGCUCCUGAAACUGGAUGGCUGGAGUGCAGGAGGGGUAAGCGGAAUUCCUAGUGUAGCAGUGAAAUGCGUAGAUAUUAGGAGGAACACCAGUGGCGAAGGCGGCUUACUGGACUGUAACUGACGUUGAGGCUCGAAGGCGUGGGGAGCAAACAGGAUUAGAUACCCCAGUAGUC